RNAcentral lists this transfer RNA (69 nucleotides) under Podarcis lilfordi (Lilford's wall lizard). RNAcentral describes it as "tRNA.Ala". It matches the Rfam family "tRNA". Rfam says of the family: Transfer RNA (tRNA) molecules are approximately 80 nucleotides in length. Their secondary structure includes four short double-helical elements and three loops (D, anti-codon, and T loops). Further hydrogen bonds mediate the characteristic L-shaped molecular structure. tRNAs have two regions of fundamental functional importance: the anti-codon, which is responsible for specific mRNA codon recognition, and the 3' end, to which the tRNAs corresponding amino acid is attached (by aminoacyl-tRNA synthetases). tRNAs cope with the degeneracy of the genetic code in two manners: having more than one tRNA (with a specific anti-codon) for a particular amino acid; and 'wobble' base-pairing, i.e. permitting non-standard base-pairing at the 3rd anti-codon position. Lineage: Eukaryota; Metazoa; Chordata; Lepidosauria; Squamata; Lacertidae. The record is from RNAcentral.
GCUGUAGCUCAGUGGUAGAGCAUCUGCUUUGCAUGCAGAAGGUCCCAGGUUCAAUCCCCAGCAUCUCCA